Molecule: non-coding RNA, 42 nt
Organism: Schistosoma curassoni
Lineage: Eukaryota; Metazoa; Platyhelminthes; Trematoda; Strigeidida; Schistosomatidae
Source: Rfam
AUCCAGCUGAGUCCCAAAUAGAACUGAACGUGCGUCCUGGAU